Molecule: ribosomal RNA, 945 nt
Filed under: Cellulosimicrobium sp.
Lineage: Bacteria; Bacillati; Actinomycetota; Actinomycetes; Micrococcales; Promicromonosporaceae
Description: bacterial SSU rRNA
Rfam family: Bacterial small subunit ribosomal RNA
Source: RNAcentral
GUAAGAGCUCGUAGGCGGUUUGUCGCGUCUGGUGUGAAAACUCGAGGCUCAACCUCGAGCUUGCAUCGGGUACGGGCAGACUAGAGUGCGGGAGGGGAGACUGGAAUUCCUGGUGUAGCGGUGGAAUGCGCAGAUAUCAGGAGGAACACCGAUGGCGAAGGCAGGUCUCUGGGCCGCAACUGACGCUGAGGAGCGAAAGCAUGGGGAGCGAACAGGAUUAGAUACCCUGGUAGUCCAUGCCGUAAACGUUGGGCACUAGGUGUGGGGCUCAUUCCACGAGUUCCGUGCCGCAGCAAACGCAUUAAGUGCCCCGCCUGGGGAGUACGGCCGCAAGGCUAAAACUCAAAGGAAUUGACGGGGGCCCGCACAAGCGGCGGAGCAUGCGGAUUAAUUCGAUGCAACGCGAAGAACCUUACCAAGGCUUGACAUGCACGGGAAGCCACCAGAGAUGGUGGUCUCUUUGGACACUCGUGCACAGGUGGUGCAUGGUUGUCGUCAGCUCGUGUCGUGAGAUGUUGGGUUAAGUCCCGCAACGAGCGCAACCCUCGUCCCAUGUUGCCAGCGGGUUAUGCCGGGGACUCAUGGGAGACUGCCGGGGUCAACUCGGAGGAAGGUGGGGAUGACGUCAAAUCAUCAUGCCCCUUAUGUCUUGGGCUUCACGCAUGCUACAAUGGCCGGUACAAAGGGCUGCGAUACCGUAAGGUGGAGCGAAUCCCAAAAAGCCGGUCUCAGUUCGGAUUGGGGUCUGCAACUCGACCCCAUGAAGUCGGAGUCGCUAGUAAUCGCAGAUCAGCAACGCUGCGGUGAAUACGUUCCCGGGCCUUGUACACACCGCCCGUCAAGUCACGAAAGUCGGUAACACCCGAAGCUCAUGGCCCAACCGGGUUUACGGGGGGGAGUGGUCGAAGUGGUACUGGCGAUUGGGACGAAUCGUACAGGGUACCC